RNAcentral lists this ribosomal RNA (404 nucleotides) under uncultured bacterium. RNAcentral describes it as "bacterial SSU rRNA". It matches the Rfam family "Bacterial small subunit ribosomal RNA", at positions 355 to 776 of the family's 1533-position model. The record is from RNAcentral.
UGAGGAAUUUUGGACAAUGGACGAAAGUCUGAUCCAGUGACACCGCGUGAAGGAUGAAGGUCUGAGGAUUGUAAACUUCUUUUGACAGGGAAGAUAAUGACGGUACCUGUAGAAUAAGCACCGGCUAACUUCGUGCCAGCAGCCGCGGUAAUACGAAGGGUGCUAGCGUUACUCGGAAUUACUGGGCGUAAAGUAGGCGUAGGCGGUUAUGUAAGUCAGAAGUGAAAGCCCAGAGCUCAACUUUGGAAUUGCUUUUGAAACUGCAUUUCUAGAACAUGGUAGGGAGCAGGAGAAUUCCUGGUGUAGGGGUAAAAUCCGUAGAUAUCAGGAGGAAAACCGGAGGCGAAGGCGCCUGCUUGGGCCAUUGUUGACGCUGAGGUCUGAAAGCGUGGGGAGCAAACAGG